This is a long non-coding RNA of Schistocerca americana (American grasshopper), 2489 nucleotides long. RefSeq lists it as uncharacterized. The record is from RefSeq and is a predicted model, not a curated record. The transcript is spliced from 4 exons. NCBI's taxonomy places the organism in Eukaryota, Metazoa, Arthropoda, Insecta, Orthoptera, Acrididae.
AAUAUGGAAUUGUGACAAAUCCAAACCGGCAUUGAUGUGCUUUAAAUAACAUUCUUUAAAUUAUGCGUGUGGCUGGUAUCUGUUUUAAAUAAUAAACCGUAUAAUUAACAGAGCCAUCCUCUAAGACUCGGUACCAUAAUGAGAUCGUUUACAUUUGAUUAUCCCACCCAUCUUCAACUUAGGAGUAUGGUGGAAACCUUCGCAAAUAAAGCAUCUACACAGCCCCACAGCGGUGAUAGCUAUAUGGAAAUCGCGAAUCAACUUGUGUGGUUUCCUUUUGUUUCUUUAAAUACGACUGAUAUGUCAUCAACAGUUGUUUCUAGUGAAUGUAAUUUCCAAGACAAACUAAAGAGUUGCAUCUGAUGUGGAGUAGUCCUUGUAAGCUGUGAAGGCGGAGGGAGUUUUGGCUAGUGGAGUUUCAAAAGCAGACUUAAGACUCAGAUAAUCGAAAAAGUCCAAGAUUCAUAGGAAUGCUUUAACAGGGCUACCAGAACUUAAAACAAAGCUACAUCAUGGGAAAAAAUGAAUGAAAACCGCUUAAAGCUUUGUACGAUAGCAGCAACAAGAGCUAGGUAAUGGACAUAUGAAGACAAGGUAUUUGCUCUGUCCUUAUACAAGCAAAACCCUUGCCCAUACAGAUGCAGUUCCCUCCGUGUCUAAGUAUCUACAUUACCUGGGAGAGAACAUCCUGUAGACGUAGAUUGUAGGGAAUGCCUGAGUAGGCAUACUCUGUUUAAAACAGCGAUAACUUGAAGCGUAAGACUGGCGCACUGAACUGCUGCAGAAACAAAGCGAUGUAUAGAUGUCAGAUGAUAAUCUUGUGUUCAUCAUCAAAAUGAAAGUUGUAACACACUCAGGAAAUGAGCACAGGAGAGCAGAUGUAGGAAUCAAGUGUCACUGCACUCGGUGAGGUUGUAAUGGAGUUGGUUUGCGGUAGGAUGAAACCCAGUGCUGGUCCAUGGGCCUACUGUUCUCAAAAAGUACGUUGCGGCUGCUGAGCUCAACUCUAAAUCUGAAGAACAUAAAGUGUCACAUGCCUUCACAUCAAGAGACAGUGUAAGAAGGUACAAAUGUAAUCCAGGACAUUAGCGCAAAAUGUGAUCACGAACGUUACCCCAUCACCUCUCAUCCCUUUGUCACCCAAAUACUGGCAUUGAAAAUUUUCCACCACCAGGAUGACUUGCAUCCAAGUUGAGAGCCACCACACAGAACUUUGUUAGCAACCUUGGUUAUGAAGAUGGGGCCAUCUCACCACAAUCGUAGAAAUUUCAAAGCAAUAGGCCUACUGCUGUGUUAACAUUGCCAAGUUCUGUAAACAUUCUCCUGUUUGUUUUUACCCCAAAUGUCAUAUAAGAGUGGGAUCCAACACACUCUCUACAUCAUUUGUCCACUAAAUUCAAAUGGUCGGUGGAGGAAAGAUGUUUGUUUAUGUUCAUCCAUAAAUAAACAUUUAUUUGCACUCAAUGUCAUCAAGAUUAAAGCUGAUAACUGAAGAUCUAGCUGAAGCCUCUUCAGGCUUCUUAUACUUAAAUGCCAAUACACAUAUUCCCUAACGGUAUUUGUGGACAACAGAAACUUUAAUGAACUCGGCAAUUCACAAACACAGUACUACAGGUAGAAAUAAUUUACUUCUCCUGGUUUAAAAGGGAGUUUUAUAUUCUGGUGCAAAAGAUUGUAACAGGUGGACUGUAGAAAAGAAACUAAACAUUCCCACCUAUCCAUAUAAACGGCAAGUUGACAUAUCCUGAGCAUGUGAAUUUGUUGAAAACAAGUGACCAGUCAGUGUGUAAAAAAGAGUCGAGCUAAGACACUAAAAGUAAGUUGUCAGUCAGUGUGUGAAAAUAAUCAAGCUGUAUACGGAAAAAAAAGAGGAAGUAUCCAGUCUAUGUGUGAAAGCAAACAAGCUACUGCAUGUUUGUUUUGCUUCACAAUUGCUAAAUAUGUAUGGGAAUUGGACAUACAUCCUAAUCUCCUUCUCCCCUCCUGUCGCCUACCAUCUCCUUUCCCCUCUCUCUGUCCAUCUCCUCCUCUGUCCUCUCUAUAUCCAUUUCUUCCCUCCCUGCCAAUGGCCAUCUCUUCUCUCCCCCUUCUCUCUCUGAGCUUGAGCCUUGCUUGUUAUUACAAUUUUAGUUUCCAUAGUAGUAUUCUAAUCAUAAACCAUAAAUACAAUGUUCCUGUUUCCUGUGAAAACAGACUGCAAGGAAUAAAACAAAACAGUAUAGUUUUGUGUUUACAGUUUGCAUUUAAAAUAUAUAUAAUGAGGUAGAACAUAUAUGGAAGAAAUAAUUUGUCUAGCAGUUUAAGUGCCCAGCUAUCAUAAUUGAAACUGAUUGUGAGAAAGAAAACAAAACUAUACAUUUUCACAGCAGAGCAUGGCAAACAUUUUCUUUGGCACAGUCAGUUUUAACAGAAAACUGGUAGUUGGUCUUUAAAAGAAUAUAUGGCCUGUGUCUCUCUGAAUGUUUAUAAAGGUAUCAUGUAAAAAUUUG